UACAGAGGAGGCAAGCGUUGUUCGGAAUUACUGGGCGUAAAGGGCGCGUAGGCGGUUCGUUAAGUCCUGUGUGAAAUCCCCCGGCUCAACUGGGGAACUGCACAGGAAACUAGCGGGCUUGAGUUCGGGAGAGGGAAGCGGAAUUCCGGGUGUAGCGGUGAAAUGCGUAGAUAUCCGGAGGAACACCGGUGGCGAAGGCGGCUUCCUGGACCGACACUGACGCUGAGGCGCGAAAGCUAGGGGAGCAAACGGG
This 253-nucleotide ribosomal RNA is filed under the name uncultured bacterium. RNAcentral's name for it is "partial 16S ribosomal RNA". It matches the Rfam family "Bacterial small subunit ribosomal RNA", at positions 524 to 776 of the family's 1533-position model. The record is from RNAcentral.